RNAcentral lists this ribosomal RNA (2902 nucleotides) under Escherichia coli. RNAcentral describes it as "bacterial LSU rRNA". It matches the Rfam family "Bacterial large subunit ribosomal RNA". The record is from RNAcentral. Lineage: Bacteria; Pseudomonadati; Pseudomonadota; Gammaproteobacteria; Enterobacterales; Enterobacteriaceae.
UUAAGCGACUAAGCGUACACGGUGGAUGCCCUGGCAGUCAGAGGCGAUGAAGGACGUGCUAAUCUGCGAUAAGCGUCGGUAAGGUGAUAUGAACCGUUAUAACCGGCGAUUUCCGAAUGGGGAAACCCAGUGUGUUUCGACACACUAUCAUUAACUGAAUCCAUAGGUUAAUGAGGCGAACCGGGGGAACUGAAACAUCUAAGUACCCCGAGGAAAAGAAAUCAACCGAGAUUCCCCCAGUAGCGGCGAGCGAACGGGGAGCAGCCCAGAGCCUGAAUCAGUGUGUGUGUUAGUGGAAGCGUCUGGAAAGGCGCGCGAUACAGGGUGACAGCCCCGUACACAAAAAUGCACAUAUUGUGAGCUCGAUGAGUAGGGCGGGACACGUGGUAUCCUGUCUGAAUAUGGGGGGACCAUCCUCCAAGGCUAAAUACUCCUGACUGACCGAUAGUGAACCAGUACCGUGAGGGAAAGGCGAAAAGAACCCCGGCGAGGGGAGUGAAAAAGAACCUGAAACCGUGUACGUACAAGCAGUGGGAGCACGCUUAGGCGUGUGACUGCGUACCUUUUGUAUAAUGGGUCAGCGACUUAUAUUCUGUAGCAAGGUUAACCGAAUAGGGGAGCCGAAGGGAAACCGAGUCUUAACUGGGCGUUAAGUUGCAGGGUAUAGACCCGAAACCCGGUGAUCUAGCCAUGGGCAGGUUGAAGGUUGGGUAACACUAACUGGAGGACCGAACCGACUAAUGUUGAAAAAUUAGCGGAUGACUUGUGGCUGGGGGUGAAAGGCCAAUCAAACCGGGAGAUAGCUGGUUCUCCCCGAAAGCUAUUUAGGUAGCGCCUCGUGAAUUCAUCUCCGGGGGUAGAGCACUGUUUCGGCAAGGGGGUCAUCCCGACUUACCAACCCGAUGCAAACUGCGAAUACCGGAGAAUGUUAUCACGGGAGACACACGGCGGGUGCUAACGUCCGUCGUGAAGAGGGAAACAACCCAGACCGCCAGCUAAGGUCCCAAAGUCAUGGUUAAGUGGGAAACGAUGUGGGAAGGCCCAGACAGCCAGGAUGUUGGCUUAGAAGCAGCCAUCAUUUAAAGAAAGCGUAAUAGCUCACUGGUCGAGUCGGCCUGCGCGGAAGAUGUAACGGGGCUAAACCAUGCACCGAAGCUGCGGCAGCGACGCUUAUGCGUUGUUGGGUAGGGGAGCGUUCUGUAAGCCUGUGAAGGUGUGCUGUGAGGCAUGCUGGAGGUAUCAGAAGUGCGAAUGCUGACAUAAGUAACGAUAAAGCGGGUGAAAAGCCCGCUCGCCGGAAGACCAAGGGUUCCUGUCCAACGUUAAUCGGGGCAGGGUGAGUCGACCCCUAAGGCGAGGCCGAAAGGCGUAGUCGAUGGGAAACAGGUUAAUAUUCCUGUACUUGGUGUUACUGCGAAGGGGGGACGGAGAAGGCUAUGUUGGCCGGGCGACGGUUGUCCCGGUUUAAGCGUGUAGGCUGGUUUUCCAGGCAAAUCCGGAAAAUCAAGGCUGAGGCGUGAUGACGAGGCACUACGGUGCUGAAGCAACAAAUGCCCUGCUUCCAGGAAAAGCCUCUAAGCAUCAGGUAACAUCAAAUCGUACCCCAAACCGACACAGGUGGUCAGGUAGAGAAUACCAAGGCGCUUGAGAGAACUCGGGUGAAGGAACUAGGCAAAAUGGUGCCGUAACUUCGGGAGAAGGCACGCUGAUAUGUAGGUGAAGUCCCUUGCGGAUGGAGCUGAAAUCAGUCGAAGAUACCAGCUGGCUGCAACUGUUUAUUAAAAACACAGCACUGUGCAAACACGAAAGUGGACGUAUACGGUGUGACGCCUGCCCGGUGCCGGAAGGUUAAUUGAUGGGGUCAGCGCAAGCGAAGCUCUUGAUCGAAGCCCCGGUAAACGGCGGCCGUAACUAUAACGGUCCUAAGGUAGCGAAAUUCCUUGUCGGGUAAGUUCCGACCUGCACGAAUGGCGUAAUGAUGGCCAGGCUGUCUCCACCCGAGACUCAGUGAAAUUGAACUCGCUGUGAAGAUGCAGUGUACCCGCGGCAAGACGGAAAGACCCCGUGAACCUUUACUAUAGCUUGACACUGAACAUUGAGCCUUGAUGUGUAGGAUAGGUGGGAGGCUUUGAAGUGUGGACGCCAGUCUGCAUGGAGCCGACCUUGAAAUACCACCCUUUAAUGUUUGAUGUUCUAACGUUGACCCGUAAUCCGGGUUGCGGACAGUGUCUGGUGGGUAGUUUGACUGGGGCGGUCUCCUCCUAAAGAGUAACGGAGGAGCACGAAGGUUGGCUAAUCCUGGUCGGACAUCAGGAGGUUAGUGCAAUGGCAUAAGCCAGCUUGACUGCGAGCGUGACGGCGCGAGCAGGUGCGAAAGCAGGUCAUAGUGAUCCGGUGGUUCUGAAUGGAAGGGCCAUCGCUCAACGGAUAAAAGGUACUCCGGGGAUAACAGGCUGAUACCGCCCAAGAGUUCAUAUCGACGGCGGUGUUUGGCACCUCGAUGUCGGCUCAUCACAUCCUGGGGCUGAAGUAGGUCCCAAGGGUAUGGCUGUUCGCCAUUUAAAGUGGUACGCGAGCUGGGUUUAGAACGUCGUGAGACAGUUCGGUCCCUAUCUGCCGUGGGCGCUGGAGAACUGAGGGGGGCUGCUCCUAGUACGAGAGGACCGGAGUGGACGCAUCACUGGUGUUCGGGUUGUCAUGCCAAUGGCACUGCCCGGUAGCUAAAUGCGGAAGAGAUAAGUGCUGAAAGCAUCUAAGCACGAAACUUGCCCCGAGAUGAGUUCUCCCUGACUCCUUGAGAGUCCUGAAGGAACGUUGAAGACGACGACGUUGAUAGGCCGGGUGUGUAAGCGCAGCGAUGCGUUGAGCUAACCGGUACUAAUGAACCGUGAGGCUUAACCUU